UAUUUCUUGCAACUCUUUGGGAUUAGCAGAGACAGAUCAUUGUCCCUCUUCACGGUGUCUACAAUGCCGGGGGCAGAGCUGAAGUCAGGGUGGGGAGGGCCUUCAGAGGCUGUUCAUAAAGCGUUGCACUUUCCAGGCAAAUCAUAGAUGAGAGAGAUUAGGAUUUGCUUUGAUUAGCAUGUUGUUUUUAGAUGGAAAACAAUAAUUAAAGGUGGUUAGUUGUGGGGAAAAAGAACAAGCAAAGACAGGCGAUCACAGACGAGCCAAAUAAGUAGACUCCUUAUACAGUGUGAUUCCUGCGAACAACGAUCACAGUAUUGCACAAUAUAAUACCAGUGAAGUUAGUCAUAGCCUGUUAUGGAAACAGUGAUUAAAUGAUAACUGCGGGAGGGCCCUGUGAGAACAAUGACGAAACGCUACCUAACUUCUGAAGUGGCUGCAAAUUUUAUUCGGAUUUUGGAAAGCUGCCAGCUCCCUGUGAUUUUAUUGUUGAUAAUUUCUACAACAAAAUUAGGUCAACACUGGACUCAGUUGCUCCACUUGUAACCAAAAAAAUCAAAACAAGACCCAUACCACCAUGGAGACCUGGAGAGAUCAGGGACUUGAAAAGAAGCUGCAGGAGAGCUGAGAGAAGGUGGAGAAAGUCCAAGUUAACGGUUCAUUAUGACAUCUACCGUGAACAUCUUAAAUCUUAUAAUAUCACGGUCAAACGUGCAAGAAUGUCUCAUUUUCAUAAUCUAAUUGCUAAUCAUAAAAAUAACCUGAAAUUCCUCUUCUCUACGAUUGACCUUUUAACUAAUAAAAACUUUAACAGAUCCUCCAUUCCUAAUGACACCCUAUGUGAGGACUUUGCAGACCACUUCAGAAGUAAAAUCAAUGACAUCAGGUUGAAUCUUUUACCCCAACAGAUUUUAACUGUCGACUCACCUAGGCCGUUGAUUUUACCCGACGAAGCACUGGAGAGUUUUGCCCUGGUUGAUGUAAGGACGCUUGGUCGAGUAUUCUCCCAGGUUAAGCCCACAACCUGCCUUCUCGACCCAAUUCCUACACCAUUUUUUAAGAAAUUUUAUGGCUUCUUUGAGGAACAGUUGCUGUACAUUGUGAGUUGCUGUCCAACCUGGAACAGCAGACAGACAGAGUUAGUGUGCAGGACCACCUAGAGAACAUAUUCCACUGAAGGUCAUGUAGAUCAAAACUAAGCUAAAAGACAAAGAAAUAUUGGAUUUAUGUUCUUCAUUUGUUCAGAGAUGUUCAUGAAUGACUGUAAAUAAACUCCAAGGUUGCUAUUUGUCCUAUGGAUACAUAGAACUAAGUAACUGCUAGCUAACAGCUUACCUUGAACCACUGUAGAAGGUGAUAAAAGAUACUUUUUGUGGAUAGUCUGAGCUGUGCAGAAAUUACUAAUGACAAUAACAAGUCUGUACUAGUGGAAGGAUUCCUUCUGGGUUGUUUUUCCCACAGGAUCUUAACAUCUCACCGUACCUUGACCAGAACAAUUAGUUUCCUUUGUGAGGAAUAAAUGCAAUUUAAUACGAUACCUCAGGUUUUAACAGGGUUACAGAGUGUGAGGAUCCUGCAGGGCUUCACAUGUGAACAGCUAAAUGAGUGAGGAACAAGGGGCUGUGCAAUGGCUCGGUGGUUAGCACUGUCGCUAGAAGUUUGCAUCCCGGCCUUCCUGGGAUCUUUCUGCAUGGAGUUUGCAUGUUCUUCCUGGGCAUGUUUGGGUUUUCUCUGGGUACUCCAGCUUCCUCCCACAGUGCAAAACCAUGCUGAGGUUAACUGGUAACUCUAAAUUGUCCGUAGGUGUGAAUGUAAUUGUCUCCAUAUGUAGCCGUGUGAUAGACUGGUGACCUGUCCAAUCAGCUGGGAUAGACUCCAGUCCCUCACAACCCUAAUGAGGAUUAAGUGGUAUAUACAUAAUAGUAAUAACUUCAUUUGGAUAGCACCUUUUGGAAGAACAUUCACAAAGCACUUUGACAGGUAGAACAUAAGAUAACAAAAAUGUAUAGAAUGGAUAGCUAAUUAAAAGCUGGUUGAAAGGACGACAUAAGGGGGUUAAGAGAGAAGCUGAAGAGAAAAUAAAAGAUAGAAAUAGAUUUAGAUCAGGCGGUUAGAAAGAGAGCCUACAAGCAGUGAACAUUUUAAAAGGGAUAAAAAGGUAGCAAGUGAUAAUAGAGAAAUAAAAGAGAACUUCAUUUGAAGGCGAGUCUAUAAAAGUGGGUUUUAAGAAAUGAUUUAAAAGAAGUUACUGAUUGGACGAGCCUUAUCUCAGGCAGGUCGUUCCAAAGCCGAGGGGCCCUGAUGGAGCAGGCCGGUCACCCUUGGAUUUAAGGCUCCUGUCAUAAGGCAGGGGGGUUUGAACCCAGAGUGCAGGCACACAGGAGGCAGGUGGAUACUUAAACAGGACUUUUAAUUCCAAAAAAACGAAGCAAACCAAAUUCCAUACAGGAAGUAAGGAAUCUAACUAAAACUAAACAGGGCUCCAAACUAAUCAAGAGCAAAGAACAAAACUGGCCACGACAUGGGCUAAAACGAAACACAAAACAGCUUGACUCACAACUAGAAGGUCCAAGCAGGGAGGGGGGCAGACAGGUUCUGCAGCUGGUGAUCUGGGGGCGGCAUACGCCAGGGCUGCAACGAGCAGCAGGGAUAAGGCGGCUGCAGGAGCGCAGCGACGGGGAGCCGAGGUGAGGACAGAGGGGGAAACUCUGGGGACAAGGCAGGCGGCUGCGGGAGUGCAGUCUAGACAUUGUUAAUGUGGUAAAUGAACAUUCCUGCUGGAAACGGCUGAUUUUUAAUGGAAUAUCUCCAUAGGGGUACAGAGGAACAUUUCCAGCAACCAUCACUCCUGUGUUCUAAUGCUACAUUGUGUUAGCUAAUGGUGUUGAAAGGCUCAUUGAUGAUUAGAAAACCCUUGUGCAGUUAUGUUAGAACAUGGAUAAAAAUGUGUGUUUUCAUGGAAAACAUGAUAUUGCCUAGGUGACCCCAAACUUUUGAACGGUAGUGUAUAUGCUGCCCAAGUCAGCUGUAUGGGAAUAUUUUGACUAAAGAAAGGAUGAUCUUGAUCAGAAACAGGUACUUUGUCUUGCGAUUGUUGCCACUACACAAUGCCACCUGACUUGUUUACCAUUUAAAUCAGCACUAGUGCAAAGUCAAAUCUGAAUACCAUCCAGUCAGUCUUGCACCAUGUGAGAGAGAUUCCACUGUUUUCAUUUUGAAAAUCACAUUUUCAGCUUUUAGCUUGACCUCCUUUCCUAUGCAGAUACACUCCUUUACAAAUUUACCCCAGUCAUUCUAAAAUAAUUUACUACUUCUAUCUUCACAUCAUCUGGUGAAAAUUUGUAGUUUUUUUUCUCAUGACAACACAUUUGACAGAAAAACUAUUGCAGUGUGAUUUUUUAUUUUUUUCCAUUUGCCCUAUUUGGGUUAGCCUGGUCUGCCUACAUGGUGCCUCUCCUGUCUUAUUUGCACUGAGGACCCUGAGUCAAACAUUAACUCUGGGAUAAAUCAAACACAGCCUACUUUCUCUGAAAGCUAGCAGCACAACCACACGUCAGCUCUUCAUUAGUUCAUUAAACCGCUGCCAAACAAGACAACGCGGCUGAGUGGCAUCCUGCGGAUCUGGUUUGUGUCACUGAGGACUGAGUUUUACAGAAGAGAAAACAGACAUUUUGAUGGACAUGGAAUGAUUCUUAACCAUCUGUGAAUUGAGCCCUUUUCUAUGAAGUUAAAUGGAAGAAGAAUGCAAGUUGAGAGACCACAGCUGAGGGACACCAUGCAGCCAGGAGUGGGUUAUGGCUUAUAGCAGACUCCUGCUGCUGCUGAUAGGAGUGAUUUCCACGCACCUACCUGAAGUCCACGCAAGACCCAUUGACUUUUGGUGCAAAAAUGAUUCAAGAAAAAAGAUGAUAGAAAUGAUUGCGGAAUGGGCUGACUGCGUCACCUCCGACACACUGCCCUCUCCUGUGCAGCUACCAUGCGUUGGGUUCCGCAUGACAGAAUGGACAAAUAAAACCCUCCAGCAGAAGCGUGCAGAGGUGUUGGGAGCCCUCCAGGUGUUUGAAGGCGGGGUGCAGAGUGUGAUGAGUCAGGUCACACUGCCAUGUCAAACCUCACUGUUGGAGAAACUGAAGAAUAGCAUCAGAAAUUAUCUGGCUAUUGUCAAGACGCUUCCUAUACAGAGUGAUGACUUGACACCUUCUCAUUCUGCAGUAAUGAAUUGUUCCCAGAACAGUCUGAACAAAGUGCUGGGACACUACAGACGGCUACUGAUUGGAAAAGUGGAGCACCUUUUUGUAGACCUCCAGGACAUGUGCUCAGUAGAACAUGGGACAAUCAGUAAUCAAGGAUCUUGAGACUAAUUUAAGAAAUGGAAAGGAUCUUGUUGCUGCUGAGGUACCAGAGCCAAGACGCAGAAGUAUGUGAACCAAGUGAGUCUAUCAUGUUUACAAAGGCUUAAGAAGAAGAGUUGUGGUGGAAAUUAGCCGUGGUUUUGCUCUUUAAGCAUGGAUGAAGGCAUUAAGGGAGAAGGGAUCUGAAGGCCAAAGGAAGAAGCAAUACUUUUGACUUGAAACCUUGCAAGGAGUAUUGUUCGAAGGUCUCACUGGCAGAAGUAUUGAUGCAAAGGUACUGGUACAUCUUUGCUUUCCGUGAUAGCAUGCCAGCAUUUGCUAAUUAGCACUAAAUACAAAACACACUGAGAUUGCGAUCACUUACAGCUGCAUUCGGCUCUAAAACAAGGUCUUGGACAAUCGGCAAUAUGGAGAGCAUGAAAGUGAGAGAUGAAGCUGAGAGAUCACCAAGGUCAAACACGUCACAAAUCGCCAGUGCUGUGUAGAGAAAGUGGACUGAACUAAAGUAGUGGAUGGAACAGAUCGACAGACCAACAUUGUCAAGCUGCUUGCAAGACUAAAACAAGGAUACAACUUGAACCACCUAACCUGAAAUUUCUAGUAGUCAAGUGAAGGAUUUCCUACUCACAGAGGUGUGCUUUUUAUUUGUGGACUUAGUAUUUGUUUUUGCAAAGACAUAUUGAGCAACCAGCUGUCAGUGCCAAGAAAAUUUCACCUAAGGCUUCCAAAGGCUUUCAGGGUCUGAAGUGAAUCGAACCGACUGGAACUCACUCAGAACUGGAACUUUUUAUUUUGGCUUAAUGUCAGAAGUCCACAUAUUAUUUCGUUGUAACUGUGCGAUGACCAUAUACCCAACAGCAAAACGAGCAGAGGGAGCCUGUGCAUGUUGUUUUCUGAACUUCUUCUUGCAGUGUGAACUCUAAGCCGUGACUGUAGCACCCUCUGUGGGUGCUUGAUGAAAGGUGCUGUCAGAGGUCAGUGUGUUCUUACACCCUGGUCUGCAGGAAAGACCUGUGAAGAUUGUAAUAAUCAAUCUUUAUGUAAGAGAGGAAAGAAAGAAAGAAAGAAUAAUGAAAUGGAUGCAGUUUAAGAGACAGUGAGUGAUGUUUCCCUCCCCUUUCACUGCAAUGUGGUGAAAAUCAGUUUUGAACUACAAAGAUCUGCAAUGCAGGGGAACUUUUAUAUACAACAUUAAAAUCACUCAGUGCAUAUGCAAGCUUUUCAUAUUUUAAUUUAUAUCAUUGCAAUGUGGAAAAUCCAAAGAUGUAAAUAUGCGCAUUGACAGAACCUGUGUGUUUACUUUGCUUUUAUAAAAAUGUGUAGAUAGUGUAUGUAUGCAUUUCAUCAUAUAUGUAUUAUAUGUAAUAUAAGUAAAAAUGGUGCAGCAUUAUAUACAGCUUUCGAAAUACUUAUUGGACCACUGUGAAUGAUGUUUUUUGACUCCUCUUGUAGUUCUUAGUGGAGUCGCAUUCAAACACAAUGAUCAGUGUUGAAGGCCUGUUAAAGACUUUCUACAGUAAAGAAUGGGUGGUCUAAUAAUUAUUUUCAUUUCCACUUCUUUAUAUACAGUACCAGUCAAAAGUUUGGACACACCUUCUCAUUCAAUGGUUUUUAUUUCAUUAUUUCAUACAUUCUAGAUUAAUACUGAAUACAUCAAUACUAUAAAAGAACACAUAUGGACUUAUGCUGUAAACAAAAAAGUGUUUAUCUUCAGUAUUAACAUACAAUGCAGAAAAUCAUGCAAAUAAAUAUAAAGCAUUGAAUGAGAAGGUGUGUCCAAAUGUUUGACUGCUAGUGUAUGUAUAUAUAUAUAUAUAUAUAUAUAUAUAUAUAUAUAUAUAUAUAUAUAUAUACACACACACACACACACACUACUGUUCAAAAGUUUGGGGUCACCCAAAAUAUUUUAUGUUUUCCAUGAAAACUUACACUUUGACUCAUGUGCUAACAUAACUGCACAAGGGUUUUCUAAUCAUCAUUGAGCCUUUCAACACCAUUAGCUAACACAAUGUAGCAUUAGAACACAGGAGUGAUGGUUGCUGGAAAUGUUCUUCUGUACCCCUAUGGAGAUAUUCCAUUAAACAUCAGCUGUUUCCAGCUAGAAUAUAUAUUUAUCACAUUAACAAUGUCUAGACUGGAUUUGUAAUGCAUUUAAUGUUGUCUUCAUUGAAAAAAAUGCUUUUCUUCUAAAAAUAAAGACAUUUCUAAAUGACCCCAAACCUUUGAAAGGUAGUGUGUAUAUAUAUAUAUAUAUAUAUAUAUAUAUAUAUAUAUAUAUAUAUAUAUAUAUAUAUAUAUAAAUUACUACUAAACCGUUGCAGUGUCUAGGAAAGACUUUCAUGCUAUUCAGGCUGCUUUGUGUAUUAAUGUGUUAUUUAUUUACUACAGAAGACUUUGGACUGUUUGAGGUAGGACUGUUGUACUACUCUGUAUUAUGUGGAUCACUUUUCUCAUUAUUGUUGAAUGAGUCACAACUAAGAAUACACAAAAUAAAGACUAGAGGGAGUGUG
This is a long non-coding RNA of Acanthochromis polyacanthus (spiny chromis), 6862 nucleotides long. RefSeq lists it as uncharacterized. The record is from RefSeq and is a predicted model, not a curated record. NCBI's taxonomy places the organism in Eukaryota, Metazoa, Chordata, Actinopteri, Pomacentridae. The transcript is spliced from 5 exons.